Molecule: long non-coding RNA, 4253 nt
Organism: Anopheles gambiae (African malaria mosquito)
Lineage: Eukaryota; Metazoa; Arthropoda; Insecta; Diptera; Culicidae
Exons: 3
Source: RefSeq, a predicted model, not a curated record
UGACAUGUUCGACUCGACGUUUGUCUUGUUUGUUUGUUUGUGUCUGACAGUGCACCUCCAUAUGAUUAUAUGGGUUUGUUCGUGUCGGAUGUCAUGUUCGAUUGCUGCUAGAGCGCCGCCUUACUCAGCAGGCCAACGAAAAGAUUUGUUGAUUUAGCUGGCAGCUGGCAGAUUUAGUCAUGUGGGUCAUGUGGGCACUUAUUCGCCGUUUGCAAUUUGCUUGAUUCGAGAAGUUGUAACAAUAGUGCUCGGUACAAUGUAUAGCAAGAGGAUGGAUUCGGUAAACGUUUCCCGUUUUGUGGAUUAAGAAAGCCACUAAAGGUAUUUUCCAAAUAGCUGGAGCGGUGCAUUUUUGUGUGUGAACGAUGAAGCGACGCUUUUCCGUGAAGCUGUUUAAGUUCAUCAAGGCAAUCAGAACAGAGACUUUGAGGUCUAGUUCAUUCGCUUCUUUUCGAUGGUUAUAUUUGAUUCAGUAGCAUUGUCUCUUUCAGGUUUCGGCAUAAUCAAUAUCUACGUUUAUCCUAGAGAUUUGCGAUGCUUUUAUCGAAGUUCUUGGCAGUUAUGUACAUGUAUGUUAAAGAUAAGUAUGUAUUCAGAAGAAGAAAAGGCGUCCGUUUGUACACUGAAGAACAAUAAAAAAAGUAGUGUGUAUGUACCGCAAAUAUUCGUUUACAAAGACUUAUAUGUUUUGAUCAAUGAACGAAAGUAGUUUAGCCCGAAUUUUAUUAAAAAAAAAAACAUUAAUAUUACUUUUGAAGGAUCCCAAAUCUUUUUGGGAUUUAUUGGAAUUUAUUCUUAGUUGCAAUAAUUUUCAUAACGUGCCGUGCGUUCAAUAGAUUGCAUAGUACCAACACGGGCUACUAUUCUAUUACGCCUCUUUGGAGACCAUGAUUCAAUUUCUUUGUCAGCUCGGACAAAAAAACGCAUUUCCUCACUGCCCUCGUCAUUUAUUGAAUUCAAGAGAGUUUGUGAAACUGAUGAAACUGUUUUUAGCGUCUGAAGGACUUCUACAUUGUACGUCAAAUUUGCCUCUACCCGACGCUUCUUCGUUUUUCCAGCCUGUUGGUGAAGCGUAAUUGCGAGCAAAGGUGGCUCAAGGACAGCGGUUUGCUCGUUGUUGGCUGGUGACGAAGGCGACGACUCGUUGGCCAUUUGUGGGUCCUGAAUAGCCGAACUCGAACGAUGCAAUGAGUCUUGCGUGUUGGUCAUUUGCUCCUCUGUAUAUGUUCCUUCUAUCAAGUUUUCCUCGGGACAAUGCCAUUCAAUUUCUAGCGAUUCCUCCGGAGAUGGCGUUCUUGUGAAGUCGGCAUUACACGUAGAGGUCUCUAAAAAAUAUUCAUGAGUGUCUAUAUUGCAAUUUUUAAAACGAUUUUGAUUUUUAAGCUGGAUGAUAUAGAUAAUAUGAAUUUACUAUGGAUAUAUUCAUCAAAUCAAUGAGUUCAAUGAGAAAUCAAUGAGAAUCAAUGGUUGAAAAUUUCCAAUGAUUUUAAGCAACAAUACGGUUUCCUUAAUGCCAUCGGAGCUAUUGAUGGAAAGCAUGUUCAAGUCAAAUGAGAGUGAGAGUGGAAGUGAUUAUAUUAAUUAAAAAAUAUUCAGCAUUGUGCUUCUUGCCGUUGUUGACGCCAACGGUUUUUUUGUUUGCCGAUGUUGGUGCAAAGGAAAGAAUUUCGGAUAGUGGGGUGGUAAAGCAUUCUCGGCUAUAUGAGCUAUUAGAAAAAAGAAUGAUACAUAUACCUGAACCAUGACCAAUACGAGAAGGAGAACAUGUAAGAGUGCCUUUUAUGUUACUCGGUGAUAGUGCGUUUGCUUUCACAGAUUAUUGUAUAAGACCCUGUGGAGGCGACCCAGAACGGCACAAUCAAAGUCAGCGGAAAUUUAACGAACUGUAUUCUAGAGUUCGUCGCGUUGUAGAAAGAGCAUUUGGGAUUUUUAGCGCAAGAUUUAGGGUAUUAAGAAAGGCUAUGGAGUUGGAACCAGGCAUAGCCAGCUAAGUAACGCUUGCGGCAGUUAACCUGCAGAACUUUAUCCGAAGAGGCUAGUGAUAAUUUAGUAUUUAUACUUUAUAUGUAGUUGAGUAAAUUAUAUUACAAUGUAUCUUGCAAAUAGUUUUUCGUCGGUAUCAUAUUAUUAAUCAUAAUGAUUUUCUGGGUUAUUUACGGAAUGAAUUCAUUCUAUGAAUAUGUAACGCAAAACAGCUGGACUGUCACUACUUGAAUAACAAAAUAAAUACAUAAAUUCACAACAUACAGCAAGUGUAUGUGUACCAAUAAGAUAAACGACUCCUCUCCUUAAGAACAUUCGGAUCGUUUACCCGUAGCAAAUACCACCUAUCCGGCUGCUUAGUUACGCCGAAUGGAGAGGGAGAGAAAGGAUAAUAUCACACCGUGAACUAUAAGUGUAAAAGUAUGUGUAUAUCUAGAACGAUUCAGCGUAUCCGUUAACCUAUGAAAAAAUUCUCUUUUCUUCUUUAGUUCUACCUUCUUUUUUAAAAUAAAUAUAAACAAGAUUGACUUUAUACACUUACCAACGUAUCUACUGUAGUUGCACAUUCGUUGGUCACCGAUAUGAAAUUCAUUGCAUCAUAUGCAGACCAUUUUUUCCUAUUGGGUUGCGCAGCUAAAAUAAAAUAAAAUAAUAAUAUUAGUCUAAACAUCGUCUAGGAAGCUGGAUAGAAAUUGCUUAUUUCGUUAAAAAGUUGUUUUUUUUUAUAAUGUUUAUGCAUCAUGCGUAAUGGUGUGCAUCCUUUCCUUAUCCAUUGAUGCCUAGGAGACGUCAUAAUUUUCGCUCCAAGUCCAGCUACGUUCCCAGCUUUAGUUUCAAAUCAUUCGACCUCGACGACGAGAAGGAGGAAUGCGAAACCGAUCAUCUGCUGAAGGGCGGGAAGCUAGGUCUGGAGGAAGCAUCCGUUGGGAAUCCGUUUACCGGGCAACGGUGCAGGGGCAGCCACGAAUUUAUCGCUUAAUACAAUUUAGCUAUUUAUCCCACUUUUCCACACUGUUAGCUUUUUGGUAGGUUAGAAUAAAAUUACCAUAACGGUUUGUGAUACUCUUAAAUCGAUAGAGCAGUCGGCCAGUUAUACACCAAAGAAAGUGCAAUGGAACCAUUCAUUGGAUCGGUUUCGAUUGAAAAAAAAGUAUUGCGAUUAUGAAAUUACUGAAAUACAUAGUACUGCCAGGCAUGGUUUUCAAGGUGCUCAAUUGUUUUGUUUAGCCUACAGUAACGUAAUCUAUUUCUUUAGCACACUUAAUGAACUUACCAGAUCCCGUUUGUUCGCUGUUUUUGUAAACAUCCUUGAAGUGUCGGAACGAGCUUCCCAUUAAAUUCUCCAAUUGAAGCACAUUCGUCGGCCUGUUGUAUUUUAUUUUUAUAGUGUAAAUCACGUCGGUCCCAUAAGCAUUCACGCAUUUGUUUUUGCUGUAUGAAGAACAAAGAGUCUUCCUGAUACAUGUUUGCUCUCUAAAAACGAAACAAAAGAGCAAAUAAACUAAGUCCACUUAUUGUUAGUGUUUUCAUUGUUUGUUUCAUGUAGGGUAAGUGUAUCAAUUGUGGCUAUAGCACCAAUUAUGGCUAUAACGAAUACUAUUUUUGCUAUAAAACAGUCUAUUUGCACUCUAAACCCACGGAAGGAUUUUUCAUUUCAAAUAUGAACAUUUUAACACAUUUGUGCUUCAUUGGUUCCGUACUGCUCACUGUCGUUUGUUAAAUAUCACCCUUAUAAAUUGUGUUGCCAAGAUUUUUGGUAUCUCUUAUCAUUUUGCUUAGAGCAGCACUGCAGGAUAUUAGCGAUUUUCAAGCACCUAACCAUAUUUUUUCUUUAAACCAUCAUUUUGGUGCAAAAUAUUAGUUAUUUAACGACUACACAUCAAAAUCUACCUAAAUUUCAGCGAAAAUAUGCCUUUUUUCCGGUAUGUCCAUAAUUGGUACAACUAUCCUUCGGUGUACCAAAUAUCGUGGCAUGCUAUGGAUGCUUUGUUGACAAGUGUGGUUUUGUUCGUAGUGCUUAGUUGACAAGUGAAAAAAUGCGGGUUUCUCGUUGUUAUUUUCGAAAUACAGUCAGAUAUAAAUAGUUGAACACUUUUUAGUUGACAUGCUUUUUAGUUGAACGCUCAAUAGUUGGCUGAUAGUUCAAUUAAAAAGCAUGCGUUUGUAUGGGAAAACCGGUUUCUGAAAAAUUCUCAAAAAUCUCAUGGCAUGCCCAGAAAAAGUUCUUUCAAUGAUUUUUUUUUGUAUGGAAAAACGUGCCAACUAAAAAG